This 440-nucleotide ribosomal RNA is filed under the name uncultured bacterium. RNAcentral describes it as "partial 16S ribosomal RNA". It matches the Rfam family "Bacterial small subunit ribosomal RNA", at positions 338 to 795 of the family's 1533-position model. The record is from RNAcentral.
CCUACGGGAGGCAGCAGUGGGGGAUAUUGCACAAUGGGGGAAACCCUGAUGCAGCGACGCCGCGUGUGGGAAGACGGUCCUCUGGAUUGUAAACCACUGUCUCCAGGGACGAAAAUGACGGUACCUGGGGAGGAAGCUCCGGCUAACUACGUGCCAGCAGCCGCGGUAAUACGUAGGGAGCGAGCGUUGUCCGGAAUUACGGGGUGAAAAGGGAGCGUAGGCGGGACUGCAAGUUGGGUGUCAAAUCUACCGGCUCAACCGGUAGCCGCACUUAAAACUGCAGUUCUUGAGUGAAGUAGAGGCAGGCGGAAUUCCUGGUGUAGCGGUGAAAUGCGUAGAUAUUAGGAGGAACACCAGUGGCGAAGGCGGCCUGCUGGGCUUUUACUGACGCUGAGGCUCGAAAGUGUGGGGAGCAAACAGGAUUAGAUACCCCAGUAGUC